This 1875-nucleotide ribosomal RNA is filed under the name Triticum aestivum (bread wheat). RNAcentral describes it as "partial small subunit ribosomal RNA". The record is from RNAcentral. Lineage: Eukaryota; Viridiplantae; Streptophyta; Magnoliopsida; Poales; Poaceae.
AUGUUUGAGUAUCAAUAUGUUGUGAGCAAGAUGUUUGAUAGUGAGGCAGAAGGCUAUGAAUUCUACAACAAAUAUGCUCUUGAAAAAGGUUUUAGUGUGAGGAAAAGCUACGUUGAGUGGGAUGGAUCCAACAAUUACGUAAUUUUAAGGAAAACUGUGUGUAGUCGUCAAGGGUUUCGCAAAGAGAAGCACAUGAAAAGAAAGAUGGAAGAUAGAAAGAGGAGGCCACGAAGUUUAACUCAUGUUGGGUGUAACGCUAAAUUGGUCAUUGCGAGAGAGGAGGAAACAGGUCGGUGGUUUGUCAAGGAUUUUAUCGAUCAGCACAGCCAUCCUCUAGCCCCACGGGAUCUUUCUUGUCUACCGCGUUCGCACAGACGAAUUAGCAAUGAGCAGAAAGCAGACAUUGCGGACAUGGAAAAAUCUGGAAUCCGCAAAUACCAUAUUAUGGAUAUUUUGUGCACUCAAUACGGUGGAUUUGAGAAGGUUGGUUGCAUAAAGAGGGACAUCUAUAAUUUCUGCCAUGCUAAUAAGCAGGAGACAAUCAGUGCCGGUGAUGCUAAAACGGUGAUCAUGCACAUGAUGGUGAGGCGAGAGCGAGAUCCGGAUUUUUUCUUCAAGUACUUGGUUGACGACCUUGGCCAUCUGAAGGGACUGUUCUAGGCUGAUAGUCAAUCCCGACUUGACUGCGAGGCUUUCAGAGACGUCAUUGUUUUUGAUAGCACAUACAGAACCAAUAAGUACAACAUGCCAUUCGUGCCGUUGAAUCACCACCGCAGCACUGUUACUUUUGCCUGUGCUAUAAUUUCUCAUGAAACAAGCCAGGCAUAUGAGUGGAUGUUGCGGUCCUUUUCUGAUUGCAUGGCACAGAAGCAUCCGAUAUCCGUGAUCACAGACGGGGACCUUGCAAUACAGAGAGCAAUCAGGGUGGUCUGGCCUGACUCAAACCAUAGACUGUGUAUAUGGCACAUUCAGCAGAACAUUGUACGCCAUCUGCAUGAUGACGACAUAAAGGAGUAAUUCAGAUCUUUCAUAUAUGAUACUUCUUCCAUUGAAGAGCAUGAGAUAAAAUGGAUACAAUUCUUACAACAGAAUAAAGUAAGUAGUGAGGAGUCUUGGCUGCAUCAGAUGAGAAAGUUGUGGUGUCUUCCAUAUCUUGAGGGGCGUUGUUUCCUAGGAUUGAGUAGCAAUCAAAGGAGUGAGAGCUUGAACUCCAUUCUACAUACACAUCUUGAGGGUAAGAUGUCGUUGUUUGAAAUGCUAGAGCACUAAGAACGUUGCCUUGCGUCACGACAGAUUAACGAAGCUCUCCAUGACGUCGAAGCCUUGCAGUCCCUUCCAUUUACUAAGGAAAAUGCUUCGCCGCUUGAGAAACACGCCGCAACUGUUUUCACUCCUACUGUCUUUAAGAUUGUCUUAUGGAGCAUAGAAGCUGUCAGCAAAUAUCAGAUCAGAGAGAUACGGGAUGGAUCAGAAGUUUCCACCUAUGUUAUGUCCAAGUAGGCAAGAAUGGAUAAAAAGUUUGGAGUGCGCAUUAAGGAGCAAGGAGGUCUUUUGCACAGGGUCAGUUGUUCUUGCUGUAAGCUGAAAUGCGCAGGCACACCAUGUUCCCACAUUUUUUACAUAUUGGGGAUUUUAAAGCAAACAAUUCUGCCCAGUUGUUGUGGUCCCACUAGGUGGACUAUAAAUGCAAAAUGUGCAUACGCACCGACCAGAAAAAACCAGAUGUAUGACUAUUCAGCAAGCCACUCUGAUGAGGACUAUCAGCGUCUAAAGAUGCUUUUGGAAGCAAUCAUGGCAAGCAAUCAAGUAUUGAAUAAGCUGACAGCAAGGAGUCAACUAAUGCUCAGCAUAACUGCAUUAGGUUUGGCCCGUUGA